Molecule: non-coding RNA, 1668 nt
Organism: Dermacentor andersoni
Lineage: Eukaryota; Metazoa; Arthropoda; Arachnida; Ixodida; Ixodidae
Source: RefSeq, a predicted model, not a curated record
GCUGCGACGCGGCCUGUGGGCCAGACUGAAUGAGGACGUUACACAAGCAAGUGCGUCUCGGCGUUUGUCGCAACAAACUGCAACGCGGAUGGGAUGCUGCAAGAUGUAUUGAAGAAGGGUACUUCGAGUGCUACACUUGGCAAGUUGCCGGAGUUUGACACCGACACUGGGGGCAUCGAAGUCUUCCUCGAUCGACUGCAGUGCUUCAUCGCUAACAACGACAUUGUAGGAGAAAUUACUGGUGUCCUUGACUGCAAUCGGCGAAAAAGUUUACGGAACGCUCAGGAGCUUGCUUCUUCCAAAGACGUCCACCAAGGUGACAUUCGAGGACAGCGUUGGCGCACUGAAAAAGCACUAUAUUCCCCGAAGUACCGUGGUGAAGAAAAGGUAUCGCUUCCAGCGACGAAAACGAGAGAAGCAUGAAGGUGUGAUGGACUUAUCGUGCGUCUCAAGAAAGUGGCAGGAACGCGCGCGUUCGGUGUGUUUCUAGAGGAAGCUCUGCGGGACCGGCUAAUCGCCGGUCUUCGAACAGAUGCUAUACGCUGCCGACUGACGUCUGACGCUGCCGUUAGCCACGCCUGAUGCUGAACUGACCUAGGAACGCACCUGCACGAGCGCCGUGCCUAUGAAAGGCGCGUCGGAAGACACUUAGCAAAUGGUCAGGAUGAGAAGCGAAGUUCUCGCUGCGGGCGUCUCCCCCCUUCGCUGACGAAGACCGGCCACAGGACGGCGUCAACAAGCAAGUGUUGGCAUGAACGCCAGGAGCAAUGCAUUCGCGAAGGCUGAAAAAACGGCGCCGCAUGGGACUAAAGCGUCGUGUCAUCGCGGUGCGGGACAUCAUGAGUCUUUGCCACUGCCACCCCGGAGACUGAUGUCUACCUUGUCACCUCAAAGCUAAAAGGAAAUAAGUUCAGUGCGGCGGCCUCUCCGCUGACCUGGCUCACCAUCAGCGUUGGCCAUCAGGAGCACUCCUUCGAACAUUGGGGCGUAGCAUUCCGAUACACCACCCCCCUCGCCAAGGGCUCCUGUACCUCCUCGUAGAAGCUGGACCUCAUCCGCCCACCGGACGGAUCGUCCGAGCGGCCUCUUUCCUCACGCAGGAGGAGCUGAAUGCUGGUGAUAAUACCACGCGGACAACCUGACGGACGUGUUUGUAGUGACGUCCCGGCUACAAGGCUCAGUGGUGGGCUCUGCGGUCACCCUGAUGGGGUGGCUUACGAGCCCCAUACCACAUCAGACUGAAGCUUACCGUCAUUGGGGCCUAGCGUUCCGACAUGGGCCGGAGACACCAGGACAAUUACUACAGGUGGUUGAUGCCGGCCCGCAUCCGGCCUCUGGCCGGAAUGUGGCGAGCACUACUUACCAAACAAUGGAAGAAUUGAGAGCCACCUGCACGAGCAUGCGGACAACCUGACGGAGGUGUUUGUAGUGACGUCCCGGCUACAAGGCUCAGUGGUGGGCUCUGCGGCCACCCUGAUGGGGUGGCUUACGAGCCCCAUACCACAUCAGACUGAAGCGUACCGUCAUUGGGGCCUAGCGUUCCGACAUGGGCCGGAGACACCAGGACAAUUACUACAGGUGGUUGAUGCCGGCCCGCAUCCGGCCUCUGGCCGGAUUGUGGCGAGCACUACUUACCAAACAAUGGAAGAAUUGAGAGCCACCUGCGCG